AGAGUUUGAUCCUGGCUCAGAUUGAACGCUGGCGGCAGGCCUAACACAUGCAAGUCGAGCGGUAGAGAGAAGCUUGCUUCUCUUGAGAGCGGCGGACGGGUGAGUAAUGCCUAGGAAUCUGCCUGAUAGUGGGGAUAACGUUCGGAAACGGACGCUAAUACCGCAUACGUCCUACGGGAGAAAGCAGGGGACCUUCGGGCCUUGCGCUAUCAGAUGAGCCUAGGUCGGAUUAGCUAGUUGGUGAGGUAAUGGCUCACCAAGGCUACGAUCCGUAACUGGUCUGAGAGGAUGAUCAAUCACACUGGAACUGAGACACGGUCCAGACUCCUACGGGAGGCAGCAGUGGGGAAUAUUGGACAAUGGGCGAAAGCCUGAUCCAGCCAUGCCGCGUGUGUGAAGAAGGUCUUCGGAUUGUAAAGCACUUUAAGUUGGGAGGAAGGGCAGUAAAUUAAUACUUUGCUGUUUUGACGUUACCGACAGAAUAAGCACCGGCUAACUCUGUGCCAGCAGCCGCGGUAAUACAGAGGGUGCAAGCGUUAAUCGGAAUUACUGGGCGUAAAGCGCGCGUAGGUGGUUCGUUAAGUUGGAUGUGAAAUCCCCGGGCCCAACCUGGGAACUGCAUUCAAAACUGUCGAGCUAGAGUAUGGUAGAGGGUGGUGGAAUUUCCUGUGUAGCGGUGAAAUGCGUAGAUAUAGGAAGGAAC
Molecule: ribosomal RNA, 703 nt
Filed under: uncultured Pseudomonas sp.
Lineage: Bacteria; Pseudomonadati; Pseudomonadota; Gammaproteobacteria; Pseudomonadales; Pseudomonadaceae
Description: bacterial SSU rRNA
Rfam family: Bacterial small subunit ribosomal RNA
Source: RNAcentral